AGGACGAACGCUGGCGGCGUGCUUAACACAUGCAAGUCGAGCGGUAAGGCCUUUCGGGGUACACGAGCGGCGAACGGGUGAGUAACACGUGGGUGAUCUGCCCUGCACUCUGGGAUAAGCCUGGGAAACUGGGUCUAAUACCGGAUAUGACCUGCUCUCGCAGUGGGGGGUGGGUGGAAAGAUUUAUCGGUG
RNAcentral lists this ribosomal RNA (192 nucleotides) under uncultured soil bacterium. RNAcentral describes it as "partial 16S ribosomal RNA". It matches the Rfam family "Bacterial small subunit ribosomal RNA", at positions 26 to 220 of the family's 1533-position model. The record is from RNAcentral.